Molecule: ribosomal RNA, 1320 nt
Filed under: metagenome
Description: bacterial SSU rRNA
Rfam family: Bacterial small subunit ribosomal RNA
Source: RNAcentral
GGAAACGACUGCUAAUACCGCAUAAGCCCACGGCUCGGCAUCGAGCAGAGGGAAAAGGAGCAAUCCGCUUUGAGAUGGCCUCGCGUCCGAUUAGCUAGUUGGUGAGGUAACGGCCCACCAAGGCGACGAUCGGUAGCCGGACUGAGAGGUUGAACGGCCACAUUGGGACUGAGACACGGCCCAGACUCCUACGGGAGGCAGCAGUGGGGAAUAUUGCACAAUGGGGGAAACCCUGAUGCAGCGACGCCGCGUGGAGGAAAGGUCUUCGGAUUGUAAACUCCUGUUGUUGAGGAAGAUAAUGACGGUACUCAACAAGGAAGUGACGGCUAACUACGUGCCAGCAGCCGCGGUAAAACGUAGGUCACAAGCGUUGUCCGGAAUUACUGGGUGUAAAGGGAGCGCAGGCGGGAAGACAAGUUGGAAGUGAAAUCCAUGGGCUCAACCCAUGAACUGCUUUCAAAACUGUUUUUCUUGAGUAGUGCAGAGGUAGGCGGAAUUCCCGGUGUAGCGGUGGAAUGCGUAGAUAUCGGGAGGAACACCAGUGGCGAAGGCGGCCUACUGGGCACCAACUGACGCUGAGGCUCGAAAGUGUGGGUAGCAAACAGGAUUAGAUACCCUGGUAGUCCACACUGUAAACGAUGAUUACUAGGUGUUGGAGGAUUGACCCCUUCAGUGCCGCAGUUAACACAAUAAGUAAUCCACCUGGGGAGUACGACCGCAAGGUUGAAACUCAAAGGAAUUGACGGGGGCCCGCACAAGCAGUGGAGUAUGUGGUUUAAUUCGACGCAACGCGAAGAACCUUACCAAGUCUUGACAUCCUGCGACGCACAUAGAAAUAUGUGUUUCCUUCGGGACGCAGAGACAGGUGGUGCAUGGUUGUCGUCAGCUCGUGUCGUGAGAUGUUGGGUUAAGUCCCGCAACGAGCGCAACCCUUAUGGUCAGUUACUACGCAAGAGGACUCUGGCCAGACUGCCGUUGACAAAACGGAGGAAGGUGGGGAUGACGUCAAAUCAUCAUGCCCUUUAUGACUUGGGCUACACACGUACUACAAUGGCGUUAAACAAAGAGGAGCAAGACCGCGAGGUGGAGCAAAACUCAGAAACAACGUCCCAGUUCGGACUGCAGGCUGCAACUCGUCUGCACGAAGUCGGAAUUGCUAGUAAUCGCAGAUCAGCAUGCUGCGGUGAAUACGUUCCCGGGCCUUGUACACACCGCCCGUCACACCAUGAGAGCCGGGGGGACCCGAAGUCGGUAGUCUAACCGCAAGGAGGACGCCGCCGAAGGUAAAACUGGUGAUUGGGGUGAAGUCGUAACAAGGUA